Molecule: long non-coding RNA, 610 nt
Organism: Daphnia carinata
Lineage: Eukaryota; Metazoa; Arthropoda; Branchiopoda; Diplostraca; Daphniidae
Exons: 4
Source: RefSeq, a predicted model, not a curated record
CAACUAUCAGGCUUAUUUGGAACUAAAGGUUUUUUUCAUUUGGGUUUCCCAUAUUUAAGCAGAUUGCUGAGGUGACAGUCAUGUAGUUGAAGGAUCUCCUGUUACAACUGAAAUAAAGUCAAUACUGUUGCAGAUAAAAAUUUUGAAGACAAGUUUCAAGUAGUGUAUAGAACGUUAUCUGCGAAUAAAAGAUGCUGUCGGAAUAGCAUUCAACUGACUAGCGCCACUUAGUGAAAAGAGCUCUUGAACGGAUGGAGCUUAUCUUCACACAACCAAAGGCCACAAAGUACGUAUGUACCAACGCUUUGGACUAACUGGUUAUUGCCUUACGGACAUAUUUUAGAGCUCGUCCCCGAUCAGCUAUGAUCGGGCGUGGGGUUAAUCGGAUGAAAUGGCAGCUGAAAGAGCGCCACUCAAAUAAGGAGGUCCGAAUGCCAUUAGUGGUCCGAUUAUCGAAGGUGAUGGAGUCCAAUGGCAAGUUGUGCGAUCUCGUAACCCAGCCGACCCGCUUCGAAAACAACCCACCCGAGGAGUAAAAAAUCAACACGAUCAUUGCAGGACCGAGUGGGCAACCUGUAUUUAAAGUUGCGAAAAGGAAUUAAUGCGUUUC